This 497-nucleotide ribosomal RNA is filed under the name uncultured bacterium. RNAcentral describes it as "partial 16S ribosomal RNA". It matches the Rfam family "Bacterial small subunit ribosomal RNA", at positions 28 to 507 of the family's 1533-position model. The record is from RNAcentral.
GAUGAACGCUGGCGGCGUGCCUAAUACAUGCAAGUCGAGCGAACGGACGAGAAGCUCGCUUCUCUGAUGUUAGCGGCGGACGGGUGAGUAACACGUGGAUAACCUACCUAUAAGACUGGGAUAACUUCGGGAAACCGUAGCCAAUACCGGAUAAUAUUUUGAACGGCAUGGAUCAAAAGAGCAAGACGGUCUGGCUGACACUUAGAGAUGGAUCCGCGCUGCAUUAGCUAGUUGGUAAGGUAACGGCCUACCAAGGCAACGAUGCGUAGCCGACCUGAGAGGGUGAUCAGCCACACUGGAACUGAGACACGGUCCAGACUCCUACGGGAGGCAGCAGUGGGGAAUCUUCCGCAAUGGGCGAAAGCCUGACGGAGCAACGCCGCGUGAGUGAUGAAGGUCUUCGGAUCGUAAAGCUCUUUUAUUAGGGAAGAACAUAUGUGUGAGUAACUGUGCACGUCUUGACGGUACCUAAUCAGUAAGCCCCGGCUAACUACGUG